AGUGAACGCUGGCGGCGUGCCUAAUACAUGCAAGUCGAACGAAGUGGCGCACGGGUGAGUAAUAUAUAGUUAAUCUGCCCUACCCAGCGGAACAACAGUUGGAAACGACUGCUAAUACCUCAUAGUGUAGGAUGAGACUAUAUCGUAUCAGCUAGUUGGUAGGGUAAUGGCUUACCAAGGCUAUGACGCGUAACUGGUCUGAGAGGAGGAUCAGUCACAUUGGAACUGGGACACGGCCCAACAUCAUACUGGAGGGAGCAGGAAGGAAGAGUGGCCAAUGGGGGAAACCCUGACGCAGCAACGCCGCUUGGAGGAUUAAACUUGUCGGAGCGUAAACUCCUUUUAUUAGGAAAGCGGUACCUGAUGAAUACGCACCGGCUAACUCCGUGCCAGCAGCCGCGGUAAUUC
Molecule: ribosomal RNA, 408 nt
Filed under: uncultured bacterium
Lineage: Bacteria
Description: partial 16S ribosomal RNA
Rfam family: Bacterial small subunit ribosomal RNA
Source: RNAcentral